GACGAACGCUGGCGGCGUGCUUAACACAUGCAAGUCGAACGGAAAGGCCCUGCUUUUGUGGGGUGCUCGAGUGGCGAACGGGUGAGUAACACGUGAGUAACCUGCCCUUGACUUUGGGAUAACUUCAGGAAACUGGGGCUAAUACCGGAUAGGAGCUCCUGCUGCAUGGUGGGGGUUGGAAAGUUUCGGCGGUUGGGGAUGGACUCGCGGCUUAUCAGCUUGUUGGUGGGGUAGUGGCUUACCAAGGCUUUGACGGGUAGCCGGCCUGAGAGGGUGACCGGCCACAUGGGGACUGAGAUACGGCCCAGACGCCUACGGGAGGCAGGAGUGGGGAAUAUUGCACAAUGGGCGGAAGCCUGAUGCAGCAACGCCGCGUGCGGGAUUACGGCCUUCGGGUUGUAAACCGCUUUCGCCUGUGACGAAGCGUGAGUGACGGUAAUGGGUAAAGAAGCACCGGCUAACUACGUG
This 468-nucleotide ribosomal RNA is filed under the name uncultured bacterium. RNAcentral describes it as "partial 16S ribosomal RNA". It matches the Rfam family "Bacterial small subunit ribosomal RNA", at positions 28 to 507 of the family's 1533-position model. The record is from RNAcentral.